RNAcentral lists this ribosomal RNA (253 nucleotides) under uncultured bacterium. RNAcentral's name for it is "partial 16S ribosomal RNA". It matches the Rfam family "Bacterial small subunit ribosomal RNA", at positions 524 to 776 of the family's 1533-position model. The record is from RNAcentral.
UACAGAGGGUGCAAGCGUUGUUCGGAAUUAUUGGGCGUAAAGGGCGCGUAGGCGGUGCGGUAAGUCACCUGUGAAACCUCUGGGCUUAACUCAGAGCCUGCAGGCGAAACUGCCGUGCUUGAGUGUGGAAGAGGGUCGUGGAAUUCCCAGUGUAGAGGUGAAAUUCGUAGAGAUCGGGAGGAACACCCGUGGCGAAGGCGGCCACCUGGGCCGACCCUGACGCUGAGGCGCGAAGGCGUGGGGAGCGAACGGG